AGUGAACGCUGGCGGUAGGCCUAACACAUGCAAGUCGAACGGCAGCACAGUAAGAGCUUGCUCUUAUGGGUGGCGAGUGGCGGACGGGUGAGGAAUACAUCGGAAUCUACUUUUUCGUGGGGGAUAACGUAGGGAAACUUACGCUAAUACCGCAUACGACCUACGGGUGAAAGCAGGGGAUCUUCGGACCUUGCGCGAUUGAAUGAGCCGAUGUCGGAUUAGCUAGUUGGCGGGGUAAAGGCCCACCAAGGCGACGAUCCGUAGCUGGUCUGAGAGGAUGAUCAGGCACACUGGAACUGAGACACGGUCCAGACUCCUACGGGAGGCAGCAGUGGGGAAUGUUGGACAAUGGGCGCAAGCCUGAUCCAGCCGUACCGCGUGGGUGAAGAAGGCCUUCGGGUUGUAAAGCCCUUUUGUUGGGAAAGAAAAGCAGCAGGUUAAUACCCCGCUGUUCUGACGGUACCCGAAGAAUAAGCACCGGCUAACUUCGUG
Molecule: ribosomal RNA, 492 nt
Filed under: uncultured bacterium
Lineage: Bacteria
Description: partial 16S ribosomal RNA
Rfam family: Bacterial small subunit ribosomal RNA
Source: RNAcentral